This 253-nucleotide ribosomal RNA is filed under the name uncultured bacterium. RNAcentral's name for it is "partial 16S ribosomal RNA". It matches the Rfam family "Bacterial small subunit ribosomal RNA", at positions 524 to 776 of the family's 1533-position model. The record is from RNAcentral.
UACGAGGGGGGCGAGCGUUGUUCGGAAUUAUUGGGCGUAAAGCGCGUGUAGGCGGCUUUGCAAGUCGGGUGUGAAAGCCCUCAGCUUAACUGAGGAAGUGCGCCCGAAACUGCAUUGCUUGAGUACCGGAGAGGAUGGCGGAAUUCCCCAAGUAGAGGUGAAAUUCGUAGAUAUGGGGAGGAACACCGGUGGCGAAGGCGGCCAUCUGGACGGAUACUGACGCUGAGACGCGAAAGCGUGGGUAGCAAACAGG